GCGGCGGCGUCCGGACCCCGCUCCCACCGGGCUCUCGGGUCCCCGAGGGCGAGAGAGACCCCGAAUCCCGAGGUGGGCCGGGACCAGGGCGCGGCCGCACCCCCCACCCACCCCAGCGCGGGGCCGGGCCGUGGGAACGCCCUCCCGGAAUGAAGCGCUUCCCGGUGCCUUCAAGAGUUCUAAGCCCAGCGCCUUCGGAUUGGAAGACCCUCACCUCAGCUGCCUCCCCACUGCGUUUGGAGUUAACUUCUCUCAUUCCGCCUCAGUUUGAGACCUACUCCCCAAGAAGGCAAACGCCUUCACUUCUCGCUUCCUCCUCCCCACGCCUCCAUCUCCUGAGUCUCCGAAAUCCCCUCCCAUACUUUUACCCUGGGCUCCUAGGAGCCACCUCGCCCUCCCCCAAAACUCACUCCCUCCAGCCCGGGAACCCUAAUAUCCAUUCUGAUCAGCUCCAGGGCUAGAGGCCACCCUCCCUGUCCCCAGCUCAUCAGACCCAUCUCCUCUCCUCGAUUCCCUGGCUGAGACCAGCCAAGAAAGGGUCAAAGCUGGAGGCCAAGAGAGCCACUCCCCCCACACCCCCGAUCCCUGCUAGGGAUCUCAUUGGCACAGGAGCCCCUCCCUCCCAACUCACCUCCCACUCCUUCCCCCUUCUCUACCUUAAAUCCACCCUAUAUAACCCAGCGACAACCUAGAUGACAAACCCGUUGCUGCUCACCCUGACAUUCAUCCUUCAGUCAUCUACCUUUUAUUAAUGUGCACAGCAGCUCUGUGCGGCAUAACCCUGACCUCUGGAACGGUGCCCAUCCCCCUCUUCUCAAUAUACCUUCCCUCCCCCUCCCCCAAGCCACCCCACAUGUAAGAACAGUGAGAGACUCAAGUUAAUGGUUUCCUUGGGGACCUUCUGGGAACACUCAGCAGAAACCCAAGGGACAAAUGACAUUAUGCCCAAGCACUCUGAUGCAAGUUGGUACCUUCAUUCUUUCUACAAAUAUUUAUUGAACACCUGCGACCUGCCAGACAUCACCUUGAAUGCCGUAUUCCUAGCACUACCUUUGUGAAACUUGCUUUCUAGAGACAGAAGUUAGCUAACAAACAGGUAAAUAGAUAGGUAAAUAAAUAAUAUGUCAGAUGUUCGUACGUGCUGUGGAGACAGGAAGGGGGAUAGGGAGGUUAGGAGGCAUGGAGAAGAGGUUGAUAAGCAAUUUUAAAUCAGUAAAUUUAUAGGGAAGGGUGAUGUUUUAGCAAAGACUUGUAGGAAUGAGGUACAUUAAUCUACUAUUGUGAUCCAGAGCUCUCUUUUAAGAAGAAUGUCUGCAUCUCUUGAGUGCAAUAAUAAUAGAUAUACAUAAUUUGACUUUCAUUGCUCUAAAACUGUGGUUCCCAAACCCUAAUGUGCAUAAAAAAUCACCCAGUGAUUUUCAGUUGACACAGGAUGCCUGGGAGAUUUGAAGAAUGCAUUUUUUUUUUACAAGCGCCUCUAUCAGAUGAUGCCGAUAGCUGAGGUUUUCUCCAGACCACUCUUGAAGAAACAUUGCUUUAAAAUACACUGAAGAGUCUUCUAGAAUGACAACAACAACAAAAUUAAAGAUUAAAUU
Molecule: long non-coding RNA, 1595 nt
Organism: Mustela erminea (ermine)
Lineage: Eukaryota; Metazoa; Chordata; Mammalia; Carnivora; Mustelidae
Exons: 3
Source: RefSeq, a predicted model, not a curated record